Molecule: ribosomal RNA, 440 nt
Filed under: uncultured bacterium
Lineage: Bacteria
Description: partial 16S ribosomal RNA
Rfam family: Bacterial small subunit ribosomal RNA
Source: RNAcentral
CCUACGGGAGGCUGCAGUGGGGAAUAUUGCACAAUGGGGGAAACCCUGAUGCAGCGACGCCGCGUGAGCGAUGAAGUAUUUCGGUAUGUAAAGCUCUAUCAGCAGGGAAGAAAAUGACGGUACCUGAGUAAGAAGCCCCGGCUAACUACGUGCCAGCAGCCGCGGUAAUACGUAGGGGGCAAGCGUUAUCCGGAUUUACUGGGUGUAAAGGGAGCGUAGACGGCAGUGCAAGUCUGGAGUGAAAGGCGGGGGCUCAACCCCCGGACUGCUCUGGAAACUGUACGGCUGGAGUGCAGGAGAGGUAAGUGGAAUGCCUGGUGUAGCGGUGAAAUGCGUAGAUAUUAGAAGGAACACCAAUGGCGAAGGCGGCUUACUGGACUGUAACUGACGUUGAGGCUCGAAAGCGUGGGGAGCAAACAGGAUUAGAUACCCUGGUAGUC